Molecule: long non-coding RNA, 847 nt
Organism: Macadamia integrifolia
Lineage: Eukaryota; Viridiplantae; Streptophyta; Magnoliopsida; Proteales; Proteaceae
Exons: 3
Source: RefSeq, a predicted model, not a curated record
GUGGCAUAUUUUUUUCUUUACUUUUGGACUAGCUUGGGAAAAUGACUGGAGACCUGGGCCCUUCAUCCACUUGGGUUUUCUCUUUUUGGCUUCAGUUUGGGUAUUUUUCAUUUAUUCUUAUUGUAUCUGCUUCUGGGUUCAGGACUGUAUCUUCUUAACUUGUUCAGAAAAGCAUAUAAAGCAAAGUAUAGCACUUGCAGCACUGUAGGAUUAUCAGAAUCAAAUUGUGCUUUCUGAGCCACAACCAAUCAAGAGGCUAGGACUAGGAAGGUAACACUGCCAUUAAUUAACAAAAUGGCUUUACUGCUCAAGAAUGUCUUCCAGAGGUUGGGAAAUCAUGGAGGGUGUCAGUUCAUUCAAGGAAGUUAGGACUCCAUCCAAUCCUUAAGGAAAAUCAGCCAGAAGAAAUGUCUGAGUCGGAGAAACUACAGCAAAUGUAUGGGGAGAAAUCAUCAAAGAUUCAAGAACUAAAGACAGAAAUUGAGUUAGUGAAGCAUCAUUUGAAGAACUUAAAGGAGAUUCCAGAUGACUGUACCACUGGAAACAGAGUAUAGCAAAGGCAAGGGUAGGACAGAUUAAAGGAGAAAGAAGAAGAAAUCGAAAAAGUGAGAUGAAAGAGAGAUUACCAGAGGAGAACCAAACAGAUUUACACACCACAACUCUUGGUAGCACUGUUCAACAAACUUUAUUCAAUUUCCAAAAUCCAACUAAAUUGUUGGGUACAAUCUGCUUUAUAUAAAUUAAGCAAAACGAAUCCAUCAAAACCUAUUCCUAAUUUAAAAGUGAAACAUAAUUUGACUCUAUCACUCUAAAACAGAAAUAAAGAUAAACUUUAACUCUUCUUCUC